Phyllopteryx taeniolatus (common seadragon) is the source of this 1345-nucleotide long non-coding RNA. RefSeq lists it as uncharacterized. The record is from RefSeq and is a predicted model, not a curated record. Lineage: Eukaryota; Metazoa; Chordata; Actinopteri; Syngnathiformes; Syngnathidae. The transcript has 3 exons.
GCCUUUAGUGUGGACUCGCUUUGAUUUCAUGUGAGCAGUUAGUCUCUAUACCUCUCGUUGAAAUUGUACCACUGUUUUUAUUCUUGAACUGCAGACUAGCUACUGAAUCAUCACCUCCUCGCCUGUUCUCAAUCAGCACUCAUCACUGCCUGCAUUUAAGCCUACCAGAUCCAGGAAUCCAGCGCAAGAGUAUUCGCUCUCAUACGUGUGUCCUCCCGUGUCUCCCGCUCCGCUGCACGCGUCCCAACCACGUCGUCAAGCUCUCCCACCUGCUCCCGCCUUCUGCACGCUCCUUGUUCCUUCGGACCACCAUCACGCCUUGGAAAUAGAGACCCUGCGCUAUCUCCAAAUAAGCCCUUAUCAACUACUUCUUCCGCCUCCGUCUGCUCGUGGGUCCAGUCCAAAACCGUUCGAUUACUAAUCGUGACACGGCUGUCUCUAAACGACCACCUAUUUUCACCUUCAACUCUUAUUUCAUUGUUAGUCCCUUUCUCCUCACAAUCCACAUGACAAGCAAACUGUUAAAAGGAAACUUUAAUCCCUGGUUAUCGAUACUAGACGUGGAACUAGAUGUCAUAUGUUGUGAUUCUGCUAUGCUUGAGGGUGCCCAGCACAGAGAGGUGGAUAGCCAUCCUGCUGGGGGAAACUCUGUGACAGAGAUGUGGUAAAUGGGCAGUUAAAAGCACAAUUCACACUUCCUUGUGAUGAUCCCCUCUCUUCGUCUUGCUCUGUGUCAAAGGAGGCCGAACAUCUUCUAGGGGUGCCUGGUAUGAUCGGUAGACAGUUUAAAUUUGGCCAAAUGUGUGGAUUUGGACUUUACCGAGUAAUCGCGAUAACUCUUAUUGAUGAUGUAAUUAUUUCUGUCUCAGUAUCAAAAAUGGCUUAAGCACAUCUGAUCACAGAGCUUCCAAUUAAGCUAUCUAUUAAUAAUUACUUGGGUUGCGCUUUUGACAGAACUGUGGCUGUAGUUUCUAGAGAGAAAAUAAUAUAGGAGAGUGCGCCGAACAAGAACGUGACAUAAUUUUGUGCAUGCACAUGAAAUUGGUACUAGAAACAAUAGCCGGGAAGGACGCAUCUUCGUGCCAAAGCUCGAAUAUGUGGGGGUCCACUGUAUUGUUAAAAUUUAGUUUCAUGUUUUAUACUGAAUGGUGCACAUUUUUUGUCAUUUGAGCAAUUUACAAUAUUGGCUUGCCUCUGUGGUUUGACUGCGGCAUGGAAACCGGCAUCCGCACUUACUCCUACACACUUUAAAGUGCUACAUUAAAUGUGUUUUUUUAACAAUUACUGUUGUUUUCUAUAUGUGACCUGAGCAACAAGUAUCAUGGAGUUGACCAGCAAAAAUAGG